CCCAUGGCUCAGAUUGAACGCUGGCGGCAGGCCUAACACAUGCAAGUCGAGCGGAUGACAGGAGCUUGCUCCUGAAUUCAGCGGCGGACGGGUGAGUAAUGCCUAGGAAUCUGCCUGGUAGUGGGGGACAACGUUUCGAAAGGAACGCUAAUACCGCAUACGUCCUACGGGAGAAAGCAGGGGACCUUCGGGCCUUGCGCUAUCAGAUGAGCCUAGGUCGGAUUAGCUAGUUGGUGAGGUAAUGGCUCACCAAGGCGACGAUCCGUAACUGGUCUGAGAGGAUGAUCAGUCACACUGGAACUGAGACACGGUCCAGACUCCUACGGGAGGCAGCAGUGGGGAAUAUUGGACAAUGGGCGAAAGCCUGAUCCAGCCAUGCCGCGUGUGUGAAGAAGGUCUUCGGAUUGUAAAGCACUUUAAGUUGGGAGGAAGGGCAUUAACCUAAUACGUUAGUGUUUUGACGUUACCGACAGAAUAAGCACCGGCUAACU
RNAcentral lists this ribosomal RNA (491 nucleotides) under Pseudomonas sp. CL2.137. RNAcentral describes it as "bacterial SSU rRNA". It matches the Rfam family "Bacterial small subunit ribosomal RNA", at positions 16 to 502 of the family's 1533-position model. Lineage: Bacteria; Pseudomonadati; Pseudomonadota; Gammaproteobacteria; Pseudomonadales; Pseudomonadaceae. The record is from RNAcentral. RNAcentral also lists the same sequence under 3 other names.